Molecule: ribosomal RNA, 504 nt
Filed under: uncultured bacterium
Lineage: Bacteria
Description: bacterial SSU rRNA
Rfam family: Bacterial small subunit ribosomal RNA
Source: RNAcentral
CAAUGGGGGAAACCCUGACGCAGCGACGCCGCGUGCGGGAUGAAGGCCUUCGGGUUGUAAACCGCUUUCACCAGGGACGAAGCGAGAGUGACGGUACCUGGGGAAGAAGCGCCGGCUAACUACGUGCCAGCAGCCGCGGUAAUACGUAGGGCGCAAGCGUUGUCCGGAAUUAUUGGGCGUAAAGAGCUCGUAGGCGGCCUGUCGCGUCUGCUGUGAAAUCCUGGGGCUUAACCCCGGGCGUGCAGUGGAUACGGGCUGGCUGGAGGCAGGCAGGGGAGAACGGAAUUCCCGGUGUAGCGGUGAAAUGCGCAGAUAUCGGGAGGAACACCGGUGGCGAAGGCGGUUCUCUGGGCCUGUUCUGACGCUGAGGAGCGAAAGCGUGGGGAGCGAACAGGAUUAGAUACCCUGGUAGUCCACGCCGUAAACGUUGGGCGCUAGGUGUGGGUCCCUUCCACGGGGUCUGUGCCGCAGCUAACGCAUUAAGCGCCCCGCCUGGGGAGUACG